GAGUUUGAUCUUGGCUCAGGAUGAACGCUGGCGGCGUGCCUAACACAUGCAAGUCGAACGGAGUUAUUUGAGGAAGUUUUCGGAUGGAAUCAAAUGACUUAGUGGCGGACGGGUGAGUAACGCGUGGGAAACCUGCCCUGUACCGGGGGAUAACACUUAGAAAUAGGUGCUAAUACCGCAUAAGCGCACAGCUUCGCAUGGAGCAGUGUGAAAAACUCCGGUGGUACAGGAUGGUCCCGCGUCUGAUUAGCCAGUUGGCGGGUAACGGCCCACCAAAGCGACGAUCAGUAGCCGGCCUG
RNAcentral lists this ribosomal RNA (299 nucleotides) under uncultured bacterium. Its description in RNAcentral is "partial 16S ribosomal RNA". It matches the Rfam family "Bacterial small subunit ribosomal RNA", at positions 9 to 294 of the family's 1533-position model. The record is from RNAcentral.